This is a long non-coding RNA of Mirounga angustirostris (Northern elephant seal), 495 nucleotides long. RefSeq lists it as uncharacterized. Lineage: Eukaryota; Metazoa; Chordata; Mammalia; Carnivora; Phocidae. The transcript is spliced from 3 exons. The record is from RefSeq and is a predicted model, not a curated record.
GAGGGAACGCCCAGUGGCCCUGCCCUGAGUCCCAGAUACCCCACGACUCCGGGGGGUGCCUGUUCACCGACAGCGGUGCUGCCCAGGCGGACAGAGGGGCACCCUGGCUGGCUCACCAGAACAGCCUAUACUGGAGCCAGUCUGCAGCUAAUUCACACCUCCCAGAAUGCACAAGCCUCCUUGCAGCUCCUCGCUGGAAAAGCCACCAAUCUUGUGACAGCCCCAGGACACCUCGCUCCUCAACCCUGCUUUGUGUCCUAAAUGCAAGCCCAUCACACUUCUCAGCCGUUCCUACCACCAAGCUUUGUGCACAUGGGGCCCAUGGUCAGUACGUCCCGCGAUCUGCUCUUCCACUUGAUUUUAUUUGACAGAGACACAGCGAGAGAGGAAAUAUAAGCAGGGGAAGUGGAAGAGGGAGAAGCAGGCUUCCCGAGGAGCAGGGAGCCCAAUGAGGAGCUUGAUCCCAGGACUCUGGGAUCAUGACCUGAGCUGAAG